Molecule: transfer RNA, 52 nt
Filed under: Cervus hanglu bactrianus (Bactrian deer)
Lineage: Eukaryota; Metazoa; Chordata; Mammalia; Artiodactyla; Cervidae
Description: partial tRNA-Thr
Source: RNAcentral
UAAUAUACUGGUCUUGUAAACCAGAAAAGAGACAACCAACCUCCCUAAGACU